UACGAAGGGGGCUAGCGUUGUUCGGAAUUACUGGGCGUAAAGGGCGCGUAGGCGGUCCUGAUCGUCGGAUGUGAAAGGCCUGGGCUCAACCUGGGAAUGGCAUCCGAUACGGCGGGACUGGAGUGUGGGAGAGGUUGGUGGAAUUCCCAGUGUAGAGGUGAAAUUCGUAGGUAUUGGGAAGAACACCGGUGGCGAAGGCGGCCAACUGGACCACAACUGACGCUGAGGCGCGAAAGCGUGGGGAGCAAACAGG
Molecule: ribosomal RNA, 253 nt
Filed under: uncultured bacterium
Lineage: Bacteria
Description: partial 16S ribosomal RNA
Rfam family: Bacterial small subunit ribosomal RNA
Source: RNAcentral